Molecule: ribosomal RNA, 254 nt
Filed under: uncultured bacterium
Lineage: Bacteria
Description: partial 16S ribosomal RNA
Rfam family: Bacterial small subunit ribosomal RNA
Source: RNAcentral
UACGGGGGGAGCAAGCGUUGUUCGGAUUUACUGGGCGUAAAGGGCGCGUAGGCGGUCGUGACAAGUCACUUGUGAAAUCUCCGGGCUUAACUCGGAACGGUCAAGUGAUACUGUCGGACUAGAGUACAGAAGGGGCAACUGGAAUUCUCGGUGUAGCGGUGAAAUGCGUAGAUAUCGAGAGGAACACCUGCGGCGAAGGCGGGUUGCUGGGCUGACACGUGACGCUGAGGCGCGAAAGCCAGGGAGCAAACGGG